UACGGAGGAUGCGAGCGUUAUCCGGAUUUAUUGGGUUUAAAGGGUGCGUAGGCGGGCUUUUAAGUCAGCGGUAAAAAUUCGGGGCUCAACCCCGUCCGGCCGUUGAAACUGGGGGUCUUGAGUGGGCGAGAAGAAGGCGGAAUGCGUGGUGUAGCGGUGAAAUGCAUAGAUAUCACGCAGAACCCCGAUUACGAAGGCAGCCUUCCGGCGCCCUACUGACGCUGAGGCACGAAAGUGCGGGGAUCGAACAGG
Molecule: ribosomal RNA, 252 nt
Filed under: uncultured bacterium
Lineage: Bacteria
Description: partial 16S ribosomal RNA
Rfam family: Bacterial small subunit ribosomal RNA
Source: RNAcentral